GGGAUAACCACUGGAAACGGUAGCUAAUACCGCAUAACGUCGCAAGACCAAAGAGGGGGACCUUCGGGCCUCUUGCCAUCAGGAUGUGCCCAGAUGGGAUUAGCUAGUAGGUGGGGUAACGGCUCACCUAGGCGACGAUCCCUAGCUGGUCUGAGAGGAUGACCAGCCACACUGGAACUGGAGACACGGUCCAGACUCCUACGGGAGGCAGCAGUGGGGAAUAUUGCACAAUGGGCGCAAGCCUGAUGCAGCCAUGCCGCGUGUAUGAAGAAGGCCUUCGGGUUGUAAAGUACUUUCAGCGGGGAGGAAGGCGAUAAGGUUAAUAACCUCAUCGAUUGACGUUACCCGCAGAAGAAGCACCGGCUAACUCCGUGCCAGGCAGCCGCGGUAAUACGGAGGGUGCAAGCGUUAAUCGGAAUUACUGGGCGUAAAGCGCACGCAGGCGGUCUGUCAAGUCGGAUGUGAAAUCCCCGGGCUUCAACCUGGGAACUGCAUUCGAAACUGGCAGGCUAGAGUCUUGUACGAGGGGGGUAGAAUUCCAGGUGUAGCGGUGAAAUGCGUAGAGAUCUGGAGGAAUACCGGUGGCGAAGGCGGCC
RNAcentral lists this ribosomal RNA (596 nucleotides) under Xenorhabdus sp. Its description in RNAcentral is "bacterial SSU rRNA". It matches the Rfam family "Bacterial small subunit ribosomal RNA", at positions 140 to 726 of the family's 1533-position model. The record is from RNAcentral. Lineage: Bacteria; Pseudomonadati; Pseudomonadota; Gammaproteobacteria; Enterobacterales; Morganellaceae.